This 1279-nucleotide long non-coding RNA is filed under the name Pogona vitticeps (central bearded dragon). RNAcentral's name for it is "lncRNA (ENSPVIG00000006627.1)". The record is from RNAcentral. Lineage: Eukaryota; Metazoa; Chordata; Lepidosauria; Squamata; Agamidae.
GGUAUAGUGGUGACCUUUGAGGACGUAGCUGUGUAUUUUACGGAGAAGGAGUGGACUCUGCUGGAUCCGGCCAAAGGGCUCUCCACAGGGACGUCAUGGAGGAGAAUUGGGCCAAUCUGGUCUCCCUAGCUACUGAUAUGGAAGGAAAGAAGAGUGAGAAAGAAAUAAAAAGCCACUCCCUGGGAACAGCCAUUAAUAAAAAGCAGAAACACGGCCCGAAAAGCACUAAUAACAAGAAGGGGAAAGAAACAAAUUGUCCAGUGGUCUCCACCGAGCAAGAACAGUAUGCAUCGGCUUUGAUUUAUCUGCUGGGCACUGACUUCAUUAACCGACAUGGCGAAGCAGGACAGUUCAUCUAUUAUCUGCGCCGAAAGCGUGCGGGAGCGAGGCAGACGUGGAUUCCUGGUUGGAUUCAUUACAAAUGCAAAAAGUUGAUCCUUUUCCGUUGCGCGGAGAGCCCAAAGAAGCCCAAAAACAAGUUGGAACAUUUUCAUCUGGGCAAUCUAGCCAAGAGACUCGCCAUUCACCAGAGAACGUGCGCCCCUCUGGAACUCUGCCCUUGCUUGGCUGACUUGCGACAAGUCCACCUGCACCAGAUCACCAACGACUGGGCACACCAGUACGAAUUCCCCCCAGAAACGUCAGGCUCGCAACCUGGAGCCAGCCAACCUUCCCGAGAACCAAGAGGGGAGCAGCAGGAAGCAGCACUGUAGGGACGGCAAGGGCAAGACGCUGGAUCCAGCACGCCCACCACUUCCCGUGACCAUAACCUGUACAGGACCCAUUUCAUUCCAAGAUGUGGGUGGGUCUCUUGGUUCACCUACCCUCCCCAAGGAAGGAGAAGAGGCUCUAGAUGAAGAACUAACUCUGGAUCUCCUUCUGAAUGACAGAGAAGCUGAUGAGCAGUUGCUGGAAGACAGGGUGGAUUUGAUUUAAAGCAAAUUAAUUUAAAUCAUAUUUAAAUCGCAAUUUAAAUUUUAAAAAUUGGAAUUUCUUUUCCAAUUAAAAUUGUAAUCAUCUUUUUUGAUUUAAAUCAUUAUUUUUGAUCAUUUAGAGUGGUGCCCCGCAUAACGAGCGCUUCGUUUAACGACAAAUCCGCAUAGCGAUGUUUUUUGCGACCGCAAAAGCAAUCGCAUAACGAUGUUUUAAAUGGGAAAACAUUGCUUUGCGAAACACUUACCGAUUAUCGCAUAACGAUAUUUUAAGAACAGCUGAUCGGCGGUUCCAAAAUGGCCACCGGGUAAAUAAAAUGGCCGCCUGCAGUGUUUUCGCGCCCUUU